Long non-coding RNA from Lolium rigidum, 862 nucleotides. RefSeq lists it as uncharacterized. The transcript has 2 exons. The record is from RefSeq and is a predicted model, not a curated record. NCBI's taxonomy places the organism in Eukaryota, Viridiplantae, Streptophyta, Magnoliopsida, Poales, Poaceae.
GCGGCGCGGCGGCAGGGGCAGAUGGACAGCGGCGGCGCAACUAGCCGAGCAGAUCAAGGACACGUGGUUCUCCCUCCCUCCUCCCUCUCCAACCCGGCGGCAGAGAGACCAGUCGAGCGGCGCGGGGCCCGGCGACCCCACCUCCGUCCGAGCUCGGCGUCGCCCGUGAGACGUCAUCUCUGGCGCCCUCUCCAUCUCCGGAUGCGUCGAACUGGAGAAAGACAUGACAUGAUGAUGAAGCUUUUUUAGAUCUUGUCGUCUGUCACAAUUUUCUUUCGAUGUCCAGCUUAUAUGAUGGGAGAUCAAGGAUGAACCGACUAAUGUUUGAUCAGAUGUCUAGCAAGUUAUUUUGAUCUGGCUAUUCUAUGCUGCGUUUUGCUAUUUAGCCGUGAAUAUAUGUCAAUAUGUGGUGUAAUAUUGGCAAAAAGACUGCUAAACUGAUGUUUGGUUCAGCCAUGUAGUACAAGCUAGCUUUGGUUUAGUCAUGUUGCUACUUGUACUUUCAUCUAAACGUGGCGGUGCACUAUCGCCGAGCUGCGAAUUGUGUGGCGAUUGGGGUGCAGGACCUGAAUGAUGAACUCGUGUCAGCGUACUCUUUGGGAAGCACCUUCAGUCAGCGUACUCUUUGAAAAUUAGAUGCUAAGAAAAAGAGAGGAAUGAGGAGCUGAGUUGCCAAAUCAUCCUUCCAGUUGUGAAGAGUUCAAGGACCUCCUGGAUCAGAGAACUUGAUGCUUCAUGCUUCAAACUGAACAAAUUGAUAUUUAUGUUUGUGUUAUUGUAAUAAGCUGAUGACUCUUUCAGAGCACUUGAUGUGUAUUUUGUUUGAGAUAACAAUUUUACUGAAAUCGAGUUUUCAUUGUCA